Molecule: transfer RNA, 74 nt
Filed under: Candidatus Margulisiibacteriota bacterium
Lineage: Bacteria; Bacillati; Candidatus Margulisiibacteriota
Description: tRNA-Arg
Rfam family: tRNA
About the family: Transfer RNA (tRNA) molecules are approximately 80 nucleotides in length. Their secondary structure includes four short double-helical elements and three loops (D, anti-codon, and T loops). Further hydrogen bonds mediate the characteristic L-shaped molecular structure. tRNAs have two regions of fundamental functional importance: the anti-codon, which is responsible for specific mRNA codon recognition, and the 3' end, to which the tRNAs corresponding amino acid is attached (by aminoacyl-tRNA synthetases). tRNAs cope with the degeneracy of the genetic code in two manners: having more than one tRNA (with a specific anti-codon) for a particular amino acid; and 'wobble' base-pairing, i.e. permitting non-standard base-pairing at the 3rd anti-codon position.
Source: RNAcentral
GCGCCCGUAGCUCAAUUGGAUAGAGUGUCUGGCUUCGAACCAGAAGGUUGGGGGUUCGAUUCCUCCCGGGCGCA